AAUAAAAGAUAUUCUUGUCUGGUUGGAGAUGUUUCAUAGAGUAACUCUGUGGUUUUGCUUUUCUCACAGGUCUGUUUCUUAGGUCUGUGAGAAGGUAAUACAAGACAGCA
RNAcentral lists this small nucleolar RNA (110 nucleotides) under Chinchilla lanigera (long-tailed chinchilla). The record is from RNAcentral. Lineage: Eukaryota; Metazoa; Chordata; Mammalia; Rodentia; Chinchillidae.